Molecule: ribosomal RNA, 253 nt
Filed under: uncultured bacterium
Lineage: Bacteria
Description: partial 16S ribosomal RNA
Rfam family: Bacterial small subunit ribosomal RNA
Source: RNAcentral
UACGUAGGGUGCAAGCGUUGUCCGGAAUUAUUGGGCGUAAAGAGCUCGUAGGCGGUCUGUCGCGUCUGCUGUGAAAACUCAGGGCUUAACCCUGAGCUUGCAGUGGGUACGGGCAGACUAGAGUGCGGUAGGGGAGACUGGAAUUCCUGGUGUAGCGGUGAAAUGCGCAGAUAUCAGGAGGAACACCGAUGGCGAAGGCGGGUCGCUGGGCCGUAACUGACGCUGAGGAGCGAAAGCAUGGGGAGCGAACAGG